UAGGGAAUCUUCGGCAAUGGACGAAAGUCUGACCGAGCAACGCCGCGUGAGUGAAGAAGGUUUUCGGAUCGUAAAACUCUGUUGUUAGAGAAGAACAAGGACGUUAGUAACUGAACGUCCCCUGACGGUAUCUAACCAGAAAGCCACGGCUAACUACGUGCCAGCAGCCGCGGUAAUACGUAGGUGGCAAGCGUUGUCCGGAUUUAUUGGGCGUAAAGCGAGCGCAGGCGGUUUCUUAAGUCUGAUGUGAAAGCCCCCGGCUCAACCGGGGAGGGUCAUUGAAAACUGGGAGACUUGAGUGCAGAAGAGGAGAGUGGAAUUCCAUGUGAGGCGGUGAAAUGCGUAGAUAUAUGGAGGAACACCAGUGAAGAAGGCGGCUCUCUGGUCUGUAACUGACGCUGAGGCUCGAAAGCGUGGGGAGCAAACAGG
RNAcentral lists this ribosomal RNA (429 nucleotides) under Gemmatimonadota bacterium. RNAcentral's name for it is "Gemmatimonadetes bacterium partial 16S ribosomal RNA". It matches the Rfam family "Bacterial small subunit ribosomal RNA", at positions 355 to 776 of the family's 1533-position model. Lineage: Bacteria; Pseudomonadati; Gemmatimonadota. The record is from RNAcentral.